CAGGCAUUGUAGGAGGUGUAGGUGGAUGCUUUAUGGUAAGUCCUGGAACUGGGGCACCAGUGUGGGGACUGGGGGCCAGUCGGGUGCCCCCAUGCCUUGCUGGGACUGGGGACACCCCAGUGACCAGUGACAUCUCCCCAUCUCUCUACAGAAACCAAAAUACCCUCCACCACCGAUGUCUGAGGUGGAGCUUCUGCAGGAGUGAUGCCCGGCUGCCCCUCUGGAUGCCCUGGCCUGGAUCUGGUGGUGACACUCGCGUCCUGUCCCUCUCCAGCGGCAUGAGGAGAUGAUCAUCCCUGGAGAACCCCCCUAAUUCCUUGGGAGCCCUGGGAAUUUCCCUGGAAUAAUCAAUAAACCCCUUCAGCAAAGCAAU
This 373-nucleotide long non-coding RNA is filed under the name Taeniopygia guttata (zebra finch). Its description in RNAcentral is "lncRNA (ENSTGUG00000029614.1)". Lineage: Eukaryota; Metazoa; Chordata; Aves; Passeriformes; Estrildidae. The record is from RNAcentral.